RNAcentral lists this ribosomal RNA (514 nucleotides) under uncultured bacterium. RNAcentral describes it as "bacterial SSU rRNA". It matches the Rfam family "Bacterial small subunit ribosomal RNA", at positions 775 to 1299 of the family's 1533-position model. The record is from RNAcentral.
AGUCAAUAGAUACCCAGGUAGUCCUGGCUGUAAACGAUGACCCACUAGAUGCGGGAAGUAUCGACCCCUUCCGUGUCGCCGCUAACGCCAUAAGUGGCCCGCCUGGGGAGUACGGUCGCAAGACUAAAACUCAAAGAAAUUGACGGGGACCCGCACAAGCAGCGGAGCGUGUGGUUUAAUUCGAAGCAACGCGAAGCACCUUACCAGGGCUUGACAUGCUCUUGCACCGCUCGUCAUGGAGCGUCUCCUUCGGGAGCGGGAGCACAGGUGCUGCAUGGCUGUCGUCAGCUCGUGUCGUGAGAUGUUGGGUUAAGUCCCGCAACGAGCGCAACCUCUGUCGUUGGUUGCAGAUAUCCAGCGAGACUGCCGUGAACAACACGGAGGAAGGUGGGAAUGACGUCAAGUCAGCAUGGCCCUGACGUCCUGGGCGACACACACGCUACAAUGGCCGGUACAAUGGGAAGCCAACCCACGAGGGGAGCCAAUCUCAACAAAGCCGGUCUCAGUUCAGAUU